RNAcentral lists this ribosomal RNA (425 nucleotides) under uncultured bacterium. Its description in RNAcentral is "partial 16S ribosomal RNA". It matches the Rfam family "Bacterial small subunit ribosomal RNA", at positions 354 to 796 of the family's 1533-position model. The record is from RNAcentral.
GUGGGGAAUCUUGCGCAAUGGGCGAAAGCCUGACGCAGCCAUGCCGCGUGAAUGAUGAAGGUCUUAGGAUUGUAAAAUUCUUUCACCGGGGACGAUAAUGACGGUACCCGGAGAAGAAGCCCCGGCUAACUUCGUGCCAGCAGCCGCGGUAAUACGAAGGGGGCUAGCGUUGCUCGGAAUUACUGGGCGUAAAGGGCGCGUAGGCGGACAGUUUAGUCAGAGGUGAAAGCCCAGGGCUCAACCUUGGAAUUGCCUUUGAUACUUGCUGUCUUGAGUACGGGAGAGGUGAGUGGAACUCCGAGUGUAGAGGUGAAAUUCGUAGAUAUUCGGAAGAACACCAGUGGCGAAGGCGACUCACUGGCCCGUUACUGACGCUGAGGCGCGAAAGCGUGGGGAGCAAACAGGAUUAGAAACCCUAGUAGUCC